This 940-nucleotide long non-coding RNA is filed under the name Pan troglodytes (chimpanzee). RNAcentral's name for it is "long non-coding RNA NONPTRT014583". The record is from RNAcentral. Lineage: Eukaryota; Metazoa; Chordata; Mammalia; Primates; Hominidae.
CAGACGCCCAUACCGAGAGCAGAAUGGAUGAGCUAAGAACAUGGCCAAGCCUGGCACAGGCCAACUUGGCACCACUACCCUGGCUCUGAGUGAGGGAGAAAGUCUAGGGCUUCAACUGGAAAGCGGCGCCCUUGACAACACCAAGGAUCGAGUCCUGGCUAAGCUGAUGAAGAUGAGGAUGACAUGGCCCACACCCCAUAUGGCAUUUGUGGGAUGAUGCAGGAAAACAUGAGUUGGAUGGUAGAAAUAUCAGAAGAUUUGGAGCUGGGGAAAUGACCAUAUCUUAAAAGCCCAGUCUGCACAAAGGGAGGCCCCAAAUAAGUGACCACAAGGCUUUGUCCUUAGGGUGUUCCCUCUAAUGUUUUAAGAGCAAGUUGGAUGGCCGGGAGUGGUGGCUCAUGCCUGUAAUCCCAGCACUUUGGGAGGCUGAGGCAGGCAGAUCACUUGAGCCCAGGAGUUCAGGACCAGCCUGGGCAUGCAACAUGGAGAAACCCCGUCUCUACUAAAAAUACAAACAUUAGUAGGCUAAGGUGGUGCACACCUGUAAUCCCAGCUACUUGGGAGGCUGAGGUAAGAGGAUGACCUAAGCCUGGGAUGCAGAGGUUGCAGUGAGCUGAGAUGGCACCACUGCACUCGAGCCUGGGCCACAGAGUGAGACUCUCUAUCUCAAAAAAAAAAAAAAAAAAAGAGCAAGUUGGAGGGAGACAGAGAAAAAACUGGUUUGCAUGUGCUGAUGACAAGGAGGUGGGAGAUGAAGUUCACAGACUCAAAAUUAUUGCAACAGCCUAGACAGCUUGGCCCAAACCAAAAAAGAUAACAUUGAACAGGGCCAAAUGCAAAGGCCUAUAUUUAGGUGAAAAAAAAAAGUGUAUAUAGUUGAAUGUUGUCUUCUUUCCUUCCAUCUUUUUUCCCUGCUAAUCUGUAUUUUCUAAGUUUUCUG